This 497-nucleotide ribosomal RNA is filed under the name uncultured bacterium. Its description in RNAcentral is "partial 16S ribosomal RNA". It matches the Rfam family "Bacterial small subunit ribosomal RNA", at positions 28 to 507 of the family's 1533-position model. The record is from RNAcentral.
GAUGAACGCUGGCGGCGUGCCUAAUACAUGCAAGUCGAGCGAACGGACGAGAAGCUUGCUUCUCUGAUGUUAGCGGCGGACGGGUGAGUAACACGUGGAUAACCUACCUAUAAGACUGGGAUAACUUCGGGAAACCGGAGCUAAUACCGGAUAAUAUUUUGAACCGCAUGGUUCAAAAGUGAAAGACGGUCUUGCUGUCACUUAUAGAUGGAUCCGCGCUGCAUUAGCUAGUUGGUAAGGUAACGGCUUGCCAAGGCAACGAUGCAUAGCCGACCUGAGAGGGUGAUCGGCCACACUGGAACUGAGACACGGUCCAGACUCCUACGGGAGGCAGCAGUAGGGAAUCUUCCGCAAAGGGCGAAAGCCUGACGGAGCAACGCCGCGUGAGUGAUGAAGGUCUUCGGAUCGUAAAACUCUGUUAUUAGGGAAGAACAUAUGUGUAAGUAACUGUGCACAUCUUGACGGUACCUAAUCAGAAAGCCACGGCUAACUACGUG